GAAAUGCGAUAAGUAAUGUGAAUUGCAGAAUUCAGUGAAUCAUCGAAUCUUUGAACGCACAUUGCGCCCGCCAGUAUUCUGGCGGGCAUGCCUGUUCGAGCGUCAUUUCAACCAUCAAGCCCCCGGGCUUGUGUUGGGGACCUGCGGCUGCCGCAGGCCCCGAAAACCAGUGGCGGGCUCGCUGUCACACCGGGCGUAGUAGAUUUUUCGUCUCGCCCAGGGCGUGCUGCGGGUUCCGGCCGUUAAAAAGCCUCUCUUUUUGACCCAAGGUUGACCUCGGAUCAGGUAGGAAGACCCGCUGAACUUAAGC
RNAcentral lists this unclassified non-coding RNA (310 nucleotides) under plant metagenome. RNAcentral describes it as "partial contains 5.8S ribosomal RNA, internal transcribed spacer 2, and large subunit ribosomal RNA". The stretch from base 1 to 105 matches the Rfam family "5.8S ribosomal RNA", at positions 50 to 154 of the family's 154-position model. The record is from RNAcentral.